AUUGAACGCCGGCGGCAGGCCUAACACAUGCAAGUCGAGCGGAUGAAGGGAGCUUGCUCCUGGAUUCAGCGGCGGACGGGUGAGUAAUGCCUAGGAAUCUGCCUGGUAGUGGGGGAUAACGUCCGGAAACGGGCGCUAAUACCGCAUACGUCCUGAGGGAGAAAGUGGGGGAUCUUCGGACCUCACGCUAUCAGAUGAGCCUAGGUCGGAUUAGCUAGUUGGUGGGGUAAAGGCCUACCAAGGCGACGAUCCGUAACUGGUCUGAGAGGAUGAUCAGUCACACUGGAACUGGGACACGGUCCAGACUCCUACGGGAGGCAGCAGUGGGGAAUAUUGGACAAUGGGCGAAAGCCUGAUCCAGCCAUGCCGCGUGUGUGAAGAAGGUCUUCGGAUUGUAAAGCACGUUAAGUUGGGAGGAAGGGCAGUAAGUUAAUACCUUGCUGUUUUGACGUUACCAACAGAAUAAGCACCGGCUAACUUCGUG
This 484-nucleotide ribosomal RNA is filed under the name uncultured bacterium. RNAcentral describes it as "partial 16S ribosomal RNA". It matches the Rfam family "Bacterial small subunit ribosomal RNA", at positions 30 to 507 of the family's 1533-position model. The record is from RNAcentral.